RNAcentral lists this long non-coding RNA (3029 nucleotides) under Homo sapiens (human). Its description in RNAcentral is "HSALNT0333005". The record is from RNAcentral. Lineage: Eukaryota; Metazoa; Chordata; Mammalia; Primates; Hominidae.
AUUCCUGCCUGAAAACAAAUGUGAGGCUGAGGAUAAGACAGCCCUCGUAUACCAAGAGGACGCAACCAUCACACUCUGAGAAUGUUGGUGCAGAAAGCUAGGAAGAAUUUGAGAUCCCGAAGUCAUCACGGAGCCCCCAUACCUGCCUAUCUGCAGGCUGUAUAGAUGGAGGUCACAGGGGGAAGAAAAACCCUGGAUUUCCAGAACACUGCUACCCCUCUCACCAAUUGGUCGCCAGUAUGGAGACUGAUUUCAUGAAGGUCCAGCGUCUGCUGCGGGCAGUGACCUCGGUCCCUUUCUGGGUCAAACGGCAGAGUGAAGCUGCAGCCAAAUUGAGGGUAAAUAACAGUCACAGCAGGAAGUAGGGAGAAUCCUGUACAGCUGAAACGAUCCUUGAGGAUCCCUGCCAUGGUAGGUGAGAGCAGCAGGGGGGGAAUUUGGAUGACUGGGUGUAUCAUUCUCUUACAGGAAGAAAAAAAUGAAAAAAGGCGAGGACAGCAUAGAGCUAGAAGGGAGGAAAUAAACAGAUGAGGGAGUGAGGAAAAGAGUAGGGAAAGAGAAAAGGGAGGUAGAAAAAAUCCUUUUUGUCUCCAAUCAGUUACAGGUGUAAAGCUUUCUCUAUGUCUGAUCUAGUGCAACUCUAGGCUUUGGAUGGCAUUUUUAUCUCUGCUAGGUUUUUGUUAAAUGAGCACCACACUGGAACCCACUGUUUAUUAACAAAGAAAUGACUGCGUAGAGCUCAAGAAGGGAGGCACAUGGUAGGUUCUUGUCCUCUUCUCAUUCCUGCUAAGAAGUGAGGGGUGCUCCCAAGUGGAUGUUUCACUGCAGGACUAGAAGCAGCACAGGAGGAUUUUUGCAUUCUAAAUGUGAGCACCUCUUAGAAGCACAUACCAGUUCCAGGAGAAAUGUACUAACACUAAAAGCAUAUAUAUUUUAUAAUUUACCAACUAGGACAUGACUGAAUUUUAAUUUGGGUUCCUUAAAAGACACACAAAACACAAACAUUUUGAGUUAAAUGUAAGAGCUGAAGAGGGGUAUGGGUUUCGAGAUGGAAAAUAUCCUAUGGUAACUACACGGUACCUGGUUUUCCUGUACCUAUGCAAUCCAAAUAAAUUCUCAAAAACAUAGGAUUUGCUUAGUAUACCAAUUCUAUUUAUUGUUAAAGAAAGAAGUCACUUCACUUAGUAAAGACCAAUGAUGGCAGGUAGAAAUAAAAACAUUUAAUCUGGGCUGGGUGGAGUGGCUCACGCCUGUAAUCCCAGCACUUUGGGAGGCUGAGGCAAGAAGACUGCUUGAGGCUAGGAGUUCCAGGCAAGCCUGGGCAACAUAGUGACACUCAUCUCUACAAAAAAUUAAAAAAUUAGUUGGGCAUGGUGGUAUAUGCCUGUAGCCCCUGGCUAUUAGGGAGGCUGAGGUAGGAGGACUGCUUGAGUCCAGGAGGUCAAGGCUGCAGUGAGCCAAGAUAGUGCCAUUGCACUCCAGCCAGGGUGACAGAGUGAGACCUUGACUCAAAAAAAAAAAAAAACAAAAACAAAAAAAAAACCCCAAUGGAUCAAAAAUGUGAGAAAAUGGGCACAAUUAGUUUUCGACAAAUCCAGUUUUCCAGUUUCAUAUUUCACAGAAUGUUGCCAGGAGUCCUUUAGCUGGCAGACUCUCCCCGUGCAUUCCAAAAGCAUUCAGGUUCCCAGAACAGGUUUCUAUACACUUUUCAGGAACACAUCUGCUGUGAAAAAUACAAUGUUUGUAGCACUGGGACUCCAAACAAAGCCUGAAGGGGAAGAUGCACUUAAAAAUAUUUAUUAAAGAGGCCGGGCGCAGUGGCUCACGCCUGUAAUCCUAGCACUUUGGGAGGCCGAGGCGGGCGGAUCACUUGAGGUCAGGAGUUCGAGACUAGCCUGGCCAACAUGGUGAAACUCCGUCUCUACUGAAAACACAAAAAAAUUGUCUGGGCUUGGUGGCGCAUGCCUGUAAUCCCAGCUACUUGGGAGGCUGAGGCAGGAGAAUCGUUUGAACCCAGGAGGCAGAGGUUGCAGUGACCUGAGAUCGUGCCACUGCACCACUCCAGCCUGGGGGACAAGAGCGAAACUCCAUCUGGAAAAAAAAAACAAAGAAAAAGUUUAUUAAAGAUAGAAAAUUCUUCCACAUGAGGAAAAGAUGGCCAGAGCCACUGUACAAUUAGGUUCUGACUUAAAGAUUAGAGAUUGAAACAAACAGAAAAAAAUGCAACCGCUUGCAUUUCUUGCUAAAAGUAAACCAAAAGCAGUUUAAUUUGAAGGAUGUGCUAUGGUAGCGGUGAUUAGGUUUUAGGUCAAAUAACCAAUGGGCCCAACUCAAUGUGAGACAGGGGGAGCCUCAUUAAGAAGAGUGGCUGAGAAGGAGGCAGCAUGACCAGUACAAAUUAUUGCCCUUGGAGAAUGGAGAUGUCGCUUUCCUGUUCAUUGAAGAUUUUAAUUAGAAAUGUAUUCUUCUUUAUAGAUGUUUCCAUUAGUUGUAUUCUAAUUAUAGACCUUGACAAAAAAAGCAAAAAGAAGACCCAGCAGAGCCAAGCCCACGGACAUCCUCAGCGCACAGUCUUGAUGUAGCCUUGGCAUGGGCAGCACCAUUCUGGAACUCGCUGAGUCACACUGAGAUGCAGCAGAGGUGUGGGAUCCUGAACUCAGCUGGUUCCCAAGCCCAUUUCUGAAGUCCUAUAAAGAGAGAAACAGAGGAAAAAAUUAUUUUUAGAUGCAGAGAAAGCCCUGUUGUGAUAUCAAUCAAGCAAUGGGUUCCAGAAGGUGCCGCCUUUUAUGUACUCCUUCAACAGAGACACGUUUGAACACCCACCAUGGGCCAGGUGGCCCCAAGGUAGGUAUGAAUGAGUCAGUUCCUUUCCUUGAAGGGCCAGGCCAAGUUCAUGACUCCAGACUACACAUAAACUGUAUGAGAAAGACGGGCCGUGUUUAUAGAAAAUCAAGGCAGAAUUCAUGAAGGGUAGAAUCUGUGUAAAGUGGAGUCAUACCACAGACAUAUUUAACUCUUAGAGAGAUGCA